AAACCGUGAUGGGGGCACAAACACUGUAAAUCCUUAAAUCUUUCCCAGGCUUCAUACAUGGACUCCCUUGGCUCCUGAUAAAAUGUAGUUAUCUGGUGUCUCAUAUC
This is a non-coding RNA of Beta vulgaris subsp. vulgaris (sugar beet), 107 nucleotides long. The record is from Rfam. NCBI's taxonomy places the organism in Eukaryota, Viridiplantae, Streptophyta, Magnoliopsida, Caryophyllales, Amaranthaceae.